This 158-nucleotide ribosomal RNA is filed under the name Trichomeriaceae sp. RNAcentral's name for it is "partial large subunit ribosomal RNA". It matches the Rfam family "Eukaryotic large subunit ribosomal RNA", at positions 99 to 261 of the family's 3401-position model. Lineage: Eukaryota; Fungi; Ascomycota; Eurotiomycetes; Chaetothyriales; Trichomeriaceae. The record is from RNAcentral.
CGGGAACAGCUCAAAUUUUAAAUCGGACUUUGUUCGAGUUGUAAUUUGUAGAGGAUGUUUUGGGUACCGCCACGGUUUAAUUUUCUUGGAACAGGAAGCCAAAGAGGGUGAGAGUCCCGUCUUGGACCGCGGUAGGGCUCGUGUAAAACUCCUUCGAC